GCGCCGAUCGUAUAGUGGCAAUUACACGACGCUGUAAACGUCGCGGCCUUUGGCCUCCGGGGGUUCGAGUCCCUCUCGGCGCA
This 83-nucleotide transfer RNA is filed under the name bacterium. RNAcentral describes it as "tRNA-Tyr". It matches the Rfam family "tRNA". From Rfam's summary of the family: Transfer RNA (tRNA) molecules are approximately 80 nucleotides in length. Their secondary structure includes four short double-helical elements and three loops (D, anti-codon, and T loops). The record is from RNAcentral. RNAcentral also lists the same sequence under 2 other names.